RNAcentral lists this ribosomal RNA (389 nucleotides) under uncultured bacterium. RNAcentral describes it as "bacterial SSU rRNA". It matches the Rfam family "Bacterial small subunit ribosomal RNA", at positions 28 to 419 of the family's 1533-position model. The record is from RNAcentral.
GACGAACGCUGGCGGCGUGCUUAACACAUGCAAGUCGAGCGGUAAGGCUCCUUCGGGAGUACACGAGCGGCGAACGGGUGAGUAACACGUGAGCAAUCUACCCUUCACAUCGGGAUAACUCCGGGAAACCGGAGCUAAUACCGGAUACGACCACUUCAGGCAUCUGACGGUGGUGGAAAGCCCUGGCGAUGGAGGAUGAGCUCGCGGCCUAUCAGCUUGUUGGUGGGGAACGGCCCACCAAGGCAACGACGGGUAGCCGGCCUGAGAGGGUGACCGGCCACACUGGGACUGAGACACGGCCCAGACUCCUACGGGAGGCAGCAGUGGGGAAUAUUGGACAAUGGGCGAAAGCCUGAUCCAGCAACGCCGCGUGAGGGAUGACGGCCUGG